This 505-nucleotide ribosomal RNA is filed under the name uncultured bacterium. RNAcentral describes it as "partial 16S ribosomal RNA". It matches the Rfam family "Bacterial small subunit ribosomal RNA", at positions 28 to 507 of the family's 1533-position model. The record is from RNAcentral.
GACGAACGCUGGCGGCGUGCCUAAUACAUGCAAGUAGAACGCACAGUUUAUACCGUAGCUUGCUACACCAUAGACUGUGAGUUGCGAACGGGUGAGUAACGCGUAGGUAACCUGCCUGGUAGCGGGGGAUAACUAUUGGAAACGAUAGCUAAUACCGCAUAAUAUUAAUUAUUGCAUGAUAAUUAAUUGAAAGGUGCAAUUGCACCACUACCAGAUGGACCUGCGUUGUAUUAGCUAGUAGGUGAGGUAACGGCUCACCUAGGCGACGAUACAUAGCCGACCGGAGAGGGUGAUCGGCCACACUGGGACUGAGACACGGCCCAGACUCCUACGGGAGGCAGCAGUAGGGAAUCUUCGGCAAUGGACGAAAGUCUGACCGAGCAACGCCGCGUGAGGGAAGAAGGUUUUCGGAUCGUAAAGCUCUGUUGUAAGAGAAGAACGGGUGUGAGAGUGGAAAGUUCACACUGUGACGGUAUCUUACCAGAAAGGGACGGCUAACUACGUG